RNAcentral lists this ribosomal RNA (272 nucleotides) under uncultured bacterium. Its description in RNAcentral is "partial 16S ribosomal RNA". It matches the Rfam family "Bacterial small subunit ribosomal RNA", at positions 86 to 354 of the family's 1533-position model. The record is from RNAcentral.
CCGCCGCGACCGGCGCACGGGUGAGUAACACGUAUGCAACCUGGCCGUGACAGAUGGAUAACCGGGAGAAAUCCCGCCUAAUACAGCAUGACGCCGGGAAGGGACAUCCCUUUCCGGCCAAAGGGGGCGACUCCGGUCACGGAUGGGCAUGCGGCGCAUUAGGUAGUUGGUGGGGCAACGGCCCACCAAGCCGACGAUGCGUAGGGGUUCUGAGAGGAAGGUCCCCCACAUUGGAACUGAGACACGGUCCAAACUCCUACGGAAGGCAGCAG